Non-coding RNA from Macaca mulatta (Rhesus monkey), 382 nucleotides. The record is from RefSeq and is a predicted model, not a curated record. NCBI's taxonomy places the organism in Eukaryota, Metazoa, Chordata, Mammalia, Primates, Cercopithecidae.
CCACAGGUGUGGAGGGGCAGGCCACCCCUUCAGGCAGGGCUGGGGGCUUUGAGGUCCAGGUGUGGCUGUGUGAAAGCCCCCAGGCUGGUGUGCAUGCCUGCCCAGUCCUGCGCGUAUCUUAACACCUGCCCUCCGUGCCUCUGCGCCCACAGGCCAUGUCGAAGGACGCCGUGAAUCUGGUGCAGAUGCAGGAGCCGACGUUGCAGCCGGAGCAACAGUCCAAGCUCAAACAACUUGUCAAUGAGGAGAACUUACGGAAGCAGGAGGAGUCGGUGCAGAAACACCAUCAGACCUUCUUGGCGUCCAUCAGGACGGCUGUCACCGUGUUUGGGGAAAGAUUCUGGGCCUUUGUGACAGAGCGGGACGCAGUGACAGCCACGGU